Molecule: ribosomal RNA, 492 nt
Filed under: uncultured bacterium
Lineage: Bacteria
Description: partial 16S ribosomal RNA
Rfam family: Bacterial small subunit ribosomal RNA
Source: RNAcentral
AGUGAACGCUGGCGGUAGGCCUAACACAUGCAAGUCGAACGGCAGCACAGUAAGAGCUUGCUCUUACGGGUGGCGAGUGGCGGACGGGUGAGGAAUACAUCGGAAUCUACUUUUUCGUGGGGGAUAACGUAGGGAAACUUACGCUAAUACCGCAUACGACCUACGGGUGAAAGCAGGGGAUCUUCGGUCCUUGCGCGAUUGAAUGAGCCGAUGUCGGAUUAGCUAGUUGGCGGGGUAAAGGCCCACCAAGGCGACGAUCCGUAGCUGGUCUGAGAGGAUGAUCAGCCACACUGGAACUGAGACACGGUCCAGACUCCUACGGGAGGCAGCAGUGGGGAAUAUUGGACAAUGGGCGGAAGCCUGAUCCAGCCAUACCGCGUGGGUGAAGAAGGCCUUCGGGUUGUAAAGCCCUUUUGUUGGGAAAGAAAAGCAGCAGGUUAAUACCCCGCUGUUCUGACGGUACCCAAAGAAUAAGCACCGGCUAACUUCGUG